GACUUAAUCUCAAACUGUACAGCAGCAGUGGUAUCAGAUAGUCGGAUACAAGAUGGAGAGGUAUAAAUGGAAGGAGUGAAGUACUCCUUUAACAGCUUGGGUUGUUCUUCAGUCAUCUUGAUAGGUGAAGCAGAUCCUAGGGUUUUAUAAGUGCGGAUUUUAGCUCGAAGGGUCCUAAUAGAACGCUCUAUUUCAGAAUCAAAAGGUACUAAUUCAGGAGAUCUGGAACGACACCCUAGCAUACACUAAUGCUUUUCUAAUCAGUCAAGUGCGGUCAAGCAUGCAUUAAAAGAAAAAGACUUCAAAUCCUUAUGUUUGCCCUAAUAUCACUAGACAGCUCCUAACUGGUUUGAAGAGGGCACCUAAGCCUCCAAUCCGGUCUAAUGAACUGAGUUGACCAGGUAAGCUCCCAGGUAAGUGGGGGGGUCACAAUGCGUUGCAAAAGUCCCACUUAAAAACCACUUGCCUCGAACAGAUGAACUGUCUCCCUUGGGACAAAGCUUGCCUAGACAUCAACUGAGCCACAGAGCGAAAUUGGUGCAACUUUCGGUGAUCUUCAUC
RNAcentral lists this long non-coding RNA (561 nucleotides) under Phoenix dactylifera (date palm). RNAcentral describes it as "long non-coding RNA (PDAC_LNC021332)". Lineage: Eukaryota; Viridiplantae; Streptophyta; Magnoliopsida; Arecales; Arecaceae. The record is from RNAcentral.